Magnolia sinica is the source of this 1357-nucleotide long non-coding RNA. RefSeq lists it as uncharacterized. NCBI's taxonomy places the organism in Eukaryota, Viridiplantae, Streptophyta, Magnoliopsida, Magnoliales, Magnoliaceae. The transcript has 6 exons. The record is from RefSeq and is a predicted model, not a curated record.
CCAUUAUUUAUGUGUUUUGGCAUGGAUGUUAUAGGGAAAAGGCAAUUGAGAGGAAUCUUAGUACUGAUGUCGAGGUUGGUAGGGCUGAGGUGUACAUCUGAGCCCAUACAAUAAAGGAUAACAAAGUGCAGUUUCUAGAAACCUUUGUAAAAUAAAAUCGAUUCAAAGUAGUAAUCCUGCAUCUCGGAUGACCAGUGUAGAUGAUGCCCUUACACAGUCAAUUGGGAGUGAUAGUAGAGGGCGCAUGCAGGGGAUAGGUGGAAAUGAAGGCAAGAUUACAUUGAAGAAGACAAUGCCUAUUGUACAUAAACUCGGUAUGGUGUCACGGGGACGAGAUAAUUUGGUAGAUGAAUUAGAUGAAGUGAAGAAAAGCCUGGGAAAUCUCCACGAGAAGGUUAAUUGCUUUGUAGAUAAGCAAGGGGAACAAAGGGAUGUGGCUCCACCGACAAUUCCUCCAUUUAUAUCUAGUCAUGCAUCAUCGCCUGAUUUGGUAAAUCUUGGCAGGAGACGCGAUCUCUGUGAUUGGAAGAAACGAGUAAUUGCUCAUGAUGAGGUGUAUGUGGUUGAUCCAAAUACCCAUGUCCAUGGAGCAGAAAUGAGCGAUGGAAAUUUUAGUGUCGUCUUGAUGGAGAUUAUAGCUCCGUAGUCAAAGCUAUGGAAGGAAGAUAGUUAUCAUGAUAUGCUUGGAGAGGUCGGUGUAGGAGGAUUCGUCGUCUGGCCCUAGUUAUUUUUAACCAUCUAUCCAUGAUGUUUGUGAAUAUUAGACAUUACAAUAACUAACACAAUUAACUUUUAUUUUUAAACGAUACAGUAACAUAGACAGAUGCAUGCAUAUUAUGGAAUCGAAUGAAUUUAACACUCACUUCAGAUUACACCCACGUAUAUUGAAUGGAAUGGAAUUAACACCCACAUUUAUACAUUGAUAUAUUUGGUUGGCAUUUCAAUUUUCAACCUCCAUUUGAGGAAUUGAAAGAUUUGUAAUAAUUUUCACUUCUUUAAGUGUAAUUUGCACUUGGGAGAGAGAGAGAGAGAGAGAGAGAGAACUAUAGGGAAUUUUCAUCAUCCAUGGCAGCUAUUGCAGAGAAUGCGAUCAUCUCCGACGAUAAGUUUUUACAUGGUUCUGCUAUAAUUUCUUCAAUGGCUGCUGGUGGUUCUGCAGGUGUACAGAAAUUACACCUCAAACAGAGUACCAUCUGCUGUAAGUUACUUCAAGGGAUCUGGUUUUGAGUGUUGUAGGAUCAUUUACUGAAGCUACACUGGUUGGUUCUCACCCCAAAGGUUGGUGUAGGUGUCACUUCAGGGGGAGUUAAUCAGAUAAGUUUAUAUUUUUCUUUUUGGUUGCAUUUAUUGUCAAAUU